RNAcentral lists this ribosomal RNA (259 nucleotides) under uncultured archaeon. RNAcentral describes it as "partial 16S ribosomal RNA". It matches the Rfam family "Archaeal small subunit ribosomal RNA", at positions 748 to 1007 of the family's 1478-position model. The record is from RNAcentral.
UAGCCGUAAACGAUACUCGCUAGGUGUCGGCCACGGUGCGACCGUUGUCGGUGCCGUAGGGAAGCCGUGAAGCGAGCCACCUGGGAAGUACGGCCGCAAGGCUGAAACUUAAAGGAAUUGGCGGGGGAGCACAACAACGGGUGGAGCUUGCGGUUUAAUUGGAUUCAACGCCGGAAAUCUUACCGGGACCGACAGCAACAUGAAGGCCAAGCUGAAGACUUUGCCGGAUUAGCUGAGAGGUGGUGCAUGGCGUAGACGU